Molecule: ribosomal RNA, 253 nt
Filed under: uncultured bacterium
Lineage: Bacteria
Description: partial 16S ribosomal RNA
Rfam family: Bacterial small subunit ribosomal RNA
Source: RNAcentral
UACGAACUGUGCGAACGUUAUUCGGAAUCACUGGGCUUACAGGGUGCGUAGGCGGCUUGUUAAGCAGGGUGUGAAAUCCUCCGGCUCAACCGGAGAACAGCGCUCUGGACUGGCGAGCUUGAGUGUGCUAGGGGUGUGUGGAACUUCCAGUGGAGCGGUGAAAUGUGUUGAUAUUGGAAGGAACACCGGUGGCGAAAGCGACACACUGGGGCAUAACUGACGCUGAGGCACGAAAGCCAGGGGAGCGAACGGG